UAGUCCACGCCGUAAACGAUGUUCACUCGCUGUUGGCGAUAUACUGUCAGCGGCCAAGCGAAAGCAUUAAGUGAACCACCUGGGGAGUACGAUCGCAAGGUUGAAACUCAAAGGAAUUGACGGGGGCCCGCACAAGCGGUGGAGCAUGUGGAUUAAUUCGAUGAUACGCGAGGAACCUUACCUAGGCUAUAAUGUGAGCGCUAUUUGGUGAAGGCCGAAGUUCCUUCGGGACGUGAAACAAGGUGCUGCAUGGUUGUCGUCAGCUCGUGCCGUGAGGUGUUGGGUUAAGUCCCGCAACGAGCGCAACCCCUAUUUUCAGUUGCCAGCAUUAAGUUGGGGACUCUGGAAAGACUGCCGGCGUAAGCCGCGAGGAAGGUGGGGAUGACGUCAAAUCAUCAUGGCCUUUAUGCCUAGGGCGACACACGUGCUACAAUGGUGCAUACAGAGGGUUGCGAGACCGCGAGGUUUAGCCAAUCCCAGAAAGUGCAUCUCAGUUCGGAUUG
RNAcentral lists this ribosomal RNA (503 nucleotides) under uncultured bacterium. RNAcentral describes it as "bacterial SSU rRNA". It matches the Rfam family "Bacterial small subunit ribosomal RNA", at positions 791 to 1300 of the family's 1533-position model. The record is from RNAcentral.